GACGAACGCUGGCGGCGUGCCUAACACAUGCAAGUCGAACGGGACCAGAAGCUUCGGUUUUUGGUUUAGUGGCGAACGGGUGAGUAACGCGUGAGAAACCUGCCUCUCAGUGGGGGACAACAGUUGGAAACGACUGCUAAUACCGCAUAAUGCUAUUGACCGGCAUCGGUUGAUAGCCAAAGAUUUAUUGCUGAGAGAUGGCCUCGCGUCUGAUUAGCUAGUUGGUGGGGUAACGGCCCACCAAGGCGACGAUCAGUAGCCGGACUGAGAGGUUGAACGGCCACAUUGGGACUGAGACACGGCCCAGACUCCUACGGGAGGCAGCAGUGGGGAAUAUUGCACAAUGGGCGCAAGCCUGAUGCAGCAACGCCGCGUGAGGGAAGACGGUUUUCGGAUUGUAAACCUCUGUCUUUGGUGACGAAGAAGUGACGGUAGCCAAGGAGGAAGCCACGGCUAACUACGUG
This 464-nucleotide ribosomal RNA is filed under the name uncultured bacterium. RNAcentral's name for it is "bacterial SSU rRNA". It matches the Rfam family "Bacterial small subunit ribosomal RNA", at positions 28 to 507 of the family's 1533-position model. The record is from RNAcentral.